GCUCAGAACGAACGCUGGCGGCAGGCUUAACACAUGCAAGUCGAGCGCCCCGCAAGGGGAGCGGCAGACGGGUGAGUAACGCGUGGGAAUCUACCCUUUUCUACGGAAUAACGCAGGGAAACUUGUGCUAAUACCGUAUGAGCCCUUCGGGGGAAAGAUUUAUCGGGAAAGGAUGAGCCCGCGUUGGAUUAGCUAGUUGGUGGGGUAAAGGCCUACCAAGGCGACGAUCCAUAGCUGGUCUGAGAGGAUGAUCAGCCACAUUGGGACUGAGACACGGCCCAAACUCCUACGGGAGGCAGCAGUGGGGAAUAUUGGACAAUGGGCGCAAGCCUGAUCCAGCCAUGCCGCGUGAGUGAUGAAGGCCCUAGGGUUGUAAAGCUCUUUCACCGG
This 390-nucleotide ribosomal RNA is filed under the name Ensifer meliloti. RNAcentral describes it as "Sinorhizobium meliloti bacterial SSU rRNA". It matches the Rfam family "Bacterial small subunit ribosomal RNA", at positions 22 to 442 of the family's 1533-position model. The record is from RNAcentral. Lineage: Bacteria; Pseudomonadati; Pseudomonadota; Alphaproteobacteria; Hyphomicrobiales; Rhizobiaceae.